RNAcentral lists this ribosomal RNA (495 nucleotides) under uncultured bacterium. RNAcentral's name for it is "partial 16S ribosomal RNA". It matches the Rfam family "Bacterial small subunit ribosomal RNA", at positions 29 to 506 of the family's 1533-position model. The record is from RNAcentral.
AUGAACGCUGGCGGCGUGCCUAAUACCUGCAAGUCGAGCGAACGGACGAGAAGCUUGCUUCUCUGAUGUUAGCGGCGGACGGGUGAGUAACACGUGGAUAACCUACCUAUAAGACUGGGAUAACUUCGGGAAACCGGAGCUAAUACCGGAUAAUAUUUUGAACCGCAUGGUUCAAAAGUGAAAGACGGUCUUGCUGUCACUUAUAGAUGGAUCCGCGCUGCAUUAGCUAGUUGGUAAGGUAACGGCUUACCAAGGCAACGAUGCAUAGCCGACCUGAGAGGGUGAUCGGCCACGCUGGAACUGAGACACGGUCCAGACUCCUACGGGAGGCAGCAGUAGGGAAUCUUCCGCAAUGGGCGAAAGCCUGACGGAGCAACGCCGCGUGAGUGAUGAAGGUCUUCGGAUCGUAAAACUCUGUUAUUAGGGAAGAACAUAUGUGUAAGUAACUGUGCACAUCUUGACGGUACCUAAUCAGAAAGCCACGGCUAACUACGU